This 598-nucleotide unclassified non-coding RNA is filed under the name Dermacentor andersoni. RNAcentral describes it as "monocarboxylate transporter 12-like". The record is from RNAcentral. Lineage: Eukaryota; Metazoa; Arthropoda; Arachnida; Ixodida; Ixodidae.
CGUGCCUUUCGCCGUGAGUGCGAUAUCCUUCGCUGUCAUCGCGCUAGGAAUGUCGACAUUUAUGUUACUUUCUGUGGACAUUGCCGUGGACCGAGGGAUCCCUUCAUCCAGCGGUGUCUUUCUCCUGAACGCCUUCGCAGUGACAGACAUUGUGGCGAGGCCGUUAAGUGGCCUGAUAAUCGACUCUGGUUUUUUAUCAUUAGAGAGCGUUAUGCUAAUCGGAUUCAUUAUCCAAUUCUUGGCGCUAGAACUCUUCGUGUGGUUAGAGCAUUUCCCGCUUAUGCUGGCUUCCUCUGCGCUAUUUGGUGUCAGUAACGGACUGAGGAUCACUCUGCUCGCGCCUUUUCUCGUUAAAGACUUUGGAAUGGACCGAAUGCCACACUUGCUUGGUGGCGUGUCCUUCUGUAGUGGCCUCGUCCUGCUCACAAGACCAUUUCUUGUUGGUUACUGGAGGGACCACCUGGGAUCCUACGAUGGCCUUCUUCAUUUCGUGGCUAUAGUAAACGCUGUCGUUGCGGUCAUAUGGAUGGCGAAGCUUUACGUGCUGAGACGGCAAAAACGGCUUAUAUAGGAAAAUAAAAACUUGUGUUUAGGCGAA